AUUGAACGCUGGCGGCAGGCUUAACACAUGCAAGUCGAGCGGGGGAAGGUAGCUUGCUACUGGACCUAGCGGCGGACGGGUGAGUAAUGCUUAGGAAUCUGCCUAUUAGUGGGGGACAACAUCUCGAAAGGGAUGCUAAUACCGCAUACGUCCUACGGGAGAAAGCAGGGGAUCUUCGGACCUUGCGCUAAUAGAUGAGCCUAAGUCGGAUUAGCUAGUUGGUGGGGUAAAGGCCUACCAAGGCGACGAUCUGUAGCGGGUCUGAGAGGAUGACCGGGCCCACUGGGACUGAGACACGGCCCAGACUCCGACGGGAGGCAGCAGUGGCGAAUAUUGGACAAUGGGGGGAACCCUGAUCCAGCCAUGCCGCGUGUGUGAAGAAGGCCUUAUGGUUGUAAAGCACUUUAAGCGAGGAGGAGGCUACUUUAGUUAAUACCUAGAGAUAGUGGACGUUACUCGCAGAAUAAGCACCGGCUAACUCUGUGCCAGCCGCCGCCGUAA
Molecule: ribosomal RNA, 501 nt
Filed under: uncultured bacterium
Lineage: Bacteria
Description: partial 16S ribosomal RNA
Rfam family: Bacterial small subunit ribosomal RNA
Source: RNAcentral